CCCUUAGAUGUUCUGGGCCGCACGCGCGCUACACUGAUGCAUUCAACGAGCCUAUCCUUGACCGACAGGUCCGGGUAAUCUUUGAAUCUGCAUCGUGACGGGGAUAGAUUAUUGCAAUUAUUAAUCUUCAACGAGGAAUGCCUAGUAGGCGCAAGUCAUCAGCUUGCGUCGAUUACGUCCCUGCCCUUUGUACACACCGCCCGUCGCUCCUACCGAUUGGGUGUGCUGGUGAAAUGUUCGGAUCGGCCGUUUGUCGCGGUUUCCGCAGCUCGUGGCUGAGAAGUUCAUUAAACCCUCCCACCUAGAGGAAGGAGAAGUCGUAACA
This 325-nucleotide ribosomal RNA is filed under the name uncultured eukaryote. RNAcentral describes it as "partial 18S ribosomal RNA". It matches the Rfam family "Eukaryotic small subunit ribosomal RNA", at positions 1470 to 1796 of the family's 1831-position model. The record is from RNAcentral.